AGGCUGAUUAUGUUCUUCAGUGGACUGGCUUAAAGGAGAAAACAAGAUUUGGGACAAAUUUUGCCUUUUUAAAUUCAACAAACAAAAGACAAGUCUUUGUUACAGCCCAGCAUGCUAGUGACUAUGCAAGACUCGGAGGUGCUGUUGGCGUCUUUGAUUUCUGAGAAAAAUGAUACAUAUAAAGUAAUUGUUUCUAACAUCAGAUUGCUGUUUUACACUGUAAAGCCGGCAGAUAUUUGGAGAGAUUUAGAAAAAAACAACACUUUCUCAUUAUAAAGAAAGAAUAAUAAAGGGAAAGAAAAUUGCACUUUAAGAAUGUGCAAUCUAUGAAGUAAUAAUUAAAAUGCGUUGCAAUAAAACUGUAUGACCGCAUGAAUUGCAUUUGGUAUUAAUUGGUGUAAAGUUUUACAUUGGUUUAAGAGGUAUUAUAUUGAUUUCAAGUAAUCAUAUCAUUCAAGUUUAUCAUAUUUUCUAUGUUGUUGAAAAUAUUGCAUAAUACUUAUGCCUGAAUCUGGCUUACAUGCUACUUAAAGUAAUCAAAAAAUACUUUUUAGCUGAAUAUUCCGAGCUAUUCUACUCACCCUGGUGUUUGCAUCAGCAUCGGCAUCAAACCUUGGUUUAAGUUUUGCAUGCAAUUACAUACAGCUGUCAUUUAAAGGCAUAUAGCUUUGAAACUUAUCUUUUCUUUUUCUAGCUCAAUUACCAACCUCACUGGGUCAAGUCCUAUAACUCUCGACAUGUAAUUUGGCCAAAUUAUGCCCCCUUUUGGACAUAGAAAAUCCUGGUUAAAGUUUUGCAUGCAUGUUACUGUCUCCAAAACUAAUGUAGAUAUUCAAUUGAAACUUCACAUGUGUCUUUGGGGUUAUAAAACUAGGUGACAACAUCAAGUCCCAUAACUUUGACAUGCAUUUUUACCAAAUUAUGCCCUCUUUUGGACACAGAAAAUCCUGGUUUAAGUUUUGCAUAUAACUUACUGUUUUCAAAACUAAUAUAGAUACUAGAUUUACACUCUAUAGAAAGGUUGAUAUUCCAGCUUCUUGGACAACAAUUUGAAUAGUCGAGCAUUGGCUGUCUUACUAAUUGAUUAUGGUCUAUUUUGAAAUGUUUAUUGCAGAUGUUUUUAAUGUAAGCUACCUCAGAUAAUUUCUAAUAAGUCUCCUUUGACAUUCUCAUUUUGUAUUCUGUAAAAUGUUGCUCAUUUCAAUUAUAGUGAUUUAUUCUGUGCCACAUAUCAUGUGAUAUUUUGUACAACCUAUUGGGUUUGCUGGAGAGUUUGACAAAGUCAUUGUGCCUAUAUUGUUUGUUAAGAUUUUAGCUCACCUAAGCACAAAAUGGUCAAGGUGAGCUAUUGUGGUCACCCUGUGUUCAUUGUUGUCUGUCAUUGACAAUUUGACUUUUAGCAGUCUGGAGGUCACAAUUUUAUCAAAAUUGUAAUGAAACUUGGUCAGAAUAUCACCCUCAAAAACAUCUUGAAAAAGUUUGUUAUUGGGUCAUCUUGGGCUUAGAAUUGGGUCACUAGGUCAAUUCAAUAGAAAAAAAAAUUGUUUAAAUGUAGAGAUCACAUUUUCUGCCUCACCACAAUACUUGUCGGAAUGUUUGCCUCUAUGAAACCCAGGAAAUAUUCAAAACUGGAUUACCUGUGGUCAAAAACCAGUCCCCAGGUCAGAUCAUAGAAAAACCUUGUUAACUCUCUAGAGGCUGCAUUUUCUGUUUGACAUUUAUGAAACUUCGUCAGAAUAUCUGUGUCUAUAAACUCUAUUUCAAAUUAAAAACUGGAUUACCUGAGAUCAAAAACUACAUCACUAGGUCAAAUCAUAGAAAAACGUUGUUAACACUCUGGAGGCCACAUUUUUUGUGAUAUCUUCUUAAAACUUUGUCAAAAUGAUUGUCUCUAUGAAAUCUAGGUCAAGCGCAAAACUUGGUAACAUGAGAUGAGAAACUAGGUCACUUGUUCAAAUCGUGGAAAGACCUUUUUAAUAUUCUAGAGGCCACAUUUUGUACUUGAACUUCAUAAACCUUUGUUUUUCUCUAUAAAACCUAGGUCAAGUUCAAAAUUUGCUUACCCGAGGUCUUAAACAAGGUCACAAGGCAAGUCAUAGAAAAACAUUGUUCACACUCUGGAGGCCACAUUUAUUAUUUGAUCUUCAUCAAACUCUUUCAGAAUGUUUGUCUCUUUUAAAUCUAAAUCAAUAUUUUGUUGUGUUCGACAGCUUUGCCAAUACUGUUCAAAUUUGUUUUAAAACAGUAAAAAAAUGAAAGUUGCAAUCCAUAAUUCGACACUUUCUGCUCCUUUGGUAUCACAGAGGCAAUAAAUAAAGUUCCAUUAGGGACGUGAGUGGUGUUGGUGGUGUUGCAAUUUUCAAUACCUCAUGCACAGUUGAACGAAGUCUGUAUUGGUGUAUGUAAUUGCACUUUUAUAUGUAUUAUAUUUAUUCAUUCGAAGCAAACUGAUAUUUUUCUUUUAAAUUGUGUAUCUUGUAAAUAAAUUUGUAUUUAUGAUUUUCAAAUUUUGUAUAUUUUGCAGUAUAUUGAAAUAUUAAAUAAAGUUAAAAUCUU
Mercenaria mercenaria is the source of this 2556-nucleotide long non-coding RNA. RefSeq lists it as uncharacterized. NCBI's taxonomy places the organism in Eukaryota, Metazoa, Mollusca, Bivalvia, Venerida, Veneridae. The transcript has 2 exons. The record is from RefSeq and is a predicted model, not a curated record.